GAGAUCGGGAUAACACCUGGAAACAGAUGCUAAUACCGGAUAAUAACAGAUGAUGCCUAUCAACUGUUUAAAAGAUGGUUCUGCUAUCACUCUUGGAUGGACCUGCGGUGCAUUAGCUAGUUGGUAGGGUAACGGCCUACCAAGGCGAUGAUGCAUAGCCGAGUUGAGAGACUGAUCGGCCACAUUGGGACUGAGACACGGCCCAAACUCCUACGGGAGGCAGCAGCU
Molecule: ribosomal RNA, 228 nt
Filed under: uncultured Lactobacillus sp.
Lineage: Bacteria; Bacillati; Bacillota; Bacilli; Lactobacillales; Lactobacillaceae
Description: partial 16S ribosomal RNA
Rfam family: Bacterial small subunit ribosomal RNA
Source: RNAcentral